GUGAGGAAUAUUGCGCAAUGGAGGCAACUCUGACGCAGCCAUGCCGCGUGCAGGAAGAAGGCGCUACGCGUUGUAAACUGCUUUUAACCGGGAAGAAACCCCAGGACGUGUCCUGGGUUGACGGUACCGGAGGAAUAAGCACCGGCUAACUUCGUGCCAGCAGCCGCGGUAAUACGAAGGGUGCAAGCGUUAUCCGGAUUCAUUGGGUUUAAAGGGUGCGUAGGCGGAGCGUUAAGUUAGUGGUGAAAUCCUGCAGCUUAACUGUAGACUUGCCAUUGAUACUGGCGCUCUUGAGUGCGCUUGAAGUGGGCGGAAUGUGCCGUGUAGCGGUGAAAUGCUUAGAUAUGGCACAGAACACCAAUUGCGAAGGCAGCUCACUAAGGCGAUACUGACGCUGAGGCACGAAAGCGUGGGGAUCGAACAGGAUUAGAUACCCGAGUAGUCC
RNAcentral lists this ribosomal RNA (445 nucleotides) under uncultured bacterium. Its description in RNAcentral is "partial 16S ribosomal RNA". It matches the Rfam family "Bacterial small subunit ribosomal RNA", at positions 354 to 796 of the family's 1533-position model. The record is from RNAcentral.